Labrus mixtus (cuckoo wrasse) is the source of this 1163-nucleotide long non-coding RNA. RefSeq lists it as uncharacterized. The record is from RefSeq and is a predicted model, not a curated record. The transcript is spliced from 2 exons. NCBI's taxonomy places the organism in Eukaryota, Metazoa, Chordata, Actinopteri, Labriformes, Labridae.
UCUCCCUUCAGUGGUUUGAGAGAAGCCGCUCUUUUGGCUGCUGGAUCUGUUGGCCUGUCCUUCAUCUGUAACUUCCUGGCCAUGGAGCUGCUCUCCUCUGAGUUCAGAUCUGGUCCCCAGCUGUCGUCUGGUCUGUGGCUGAGUCUGGCCGCUUCUACCAACACAGGAGUGAUGGAGCAGAGUCAGUGAGGACAGCUGCCAUGACACACAGAGGCUCAGGCUCAACAAGCUGGUGAGGAAGGCACACUCUGUGGUCGGCCUGGAACUGGACAGCUUGGAGACAGUGGCUGAGAGGAGGAUGAGGGACAAAAUCACAGCCAUCCUGGACCACUCCUCUCAUUCUCUCCAUGAUGACCUGUGGCAGAUGGGCAGCAAACGUCUUAUACUGUAUCUCGACAUGUUUCCUUUGUCGACUGUGAUUUCUAAAUGUCCUGUGUCAUUAACUAAAAUCACAACUACGCAGUUAUUCUUGCCAUACUAAUUGGCAAUUUAAAAGAGCCCUUUAAUUCAUUUGAGUAGUGUAUUUGCAGGAAUCAGCAGCCAGUCGGGCCAAGCAGACAGUGCUGAGAGAAGCUUUCUCGUCUUUAAAGCUACCCUCAGACUGUCUAAAGGCAAAAUGUCUUAAAUGCAAGAUCAACAGCACACCAAACCUAAACAUUAACUGAGGAGCCAGGAAUGCCCUGUGACUCACAUUUUUGCUUCAUUAGGUGCUUUUGUGUUUAUGAAACCUACUGAUCCAGAUUCUGCCCUCCUCAGAGACUUCUGGUAAUUAAUAUCAGGAAAAAAAGGAAAAGUUAUUCAAACAGGACUAAAAAACAUUUAGAUCUAUGAAAGCCCUAGUUCACUGUUCAGGCUGCAAAUACUAUACAGCAAACAUUUAAAAUCAGGGAAUGUGUUUUAAGAAUUCACAAGAUUUCCAAGUACUUACAUCGGAUUUAAUGAAAGGAAAAGAUGAAUUUGUGUAUAAAAACAAAACACUUUAUUACAAUUAGGCUGAAAAAACCCAAUGAAAACACGACUACUUUACAAGUACAAAUGUUUUUCAUUGAUAUUUACAGUUUUUUUUCCUUGACAUCAAUAAAAAAAGACAAUUUAUGAGAAACACAAAAUACUAAAGUACAUGUAUACAGUGUAUUUGCUGCAAUAAAAAACAAAGGGCUAAA